UAAGAUGCGGUAUGACAUUGUCAAUUUUAAAAGACGAGGUAUGAAAUUUUCGUGACCCCAAUAGUUGAGGUAGUUUUUUGUACUUUACCCAAUAAAAAAUAUAAUUGUUGUAAACAGUACAUUGACCUGUGAACAGUACUUUUUGCUACAGUCCUAAAUAGUAUUCGGUGUUAUGGUAAAAUAUUUCGUGCAAUUCUGUUUUGUGUGUGUGUGUGUGUGUGUGUGUGUUUUUUUUUUUUCCUUCUUUUUUUGUCAUUAUUAUUUCUCUUUUUCUAAAUGGAUUCAUUGAAUUGUGGUGUUGCUAUGCAUAUAUUUGGAACUAAAAUAUAGAUAAUUGAUACUGGUGUUUCUUAUACUCAUGAUCCUGCUGUAUUUGAUGAAUUGGGAAAUUAUAUUCAUCCUUAUAUUACGAUUGCCAAUGUUAAACAUUCACCACUGACAGAUGAAGGAUCUCAAAACUCCAAAGGUGAAUGGGCGUGGCAAAAGGGUUGGAGGAUUCUACAUCUUGACUAUGGAGGAUACAGAUGCUUCAGGUUCAAGUAAUCAUACAGUGCAGGGUGCCAAAGUGAGUGAUAAGCAUAGAUUUUGUUGUGAAAUCGUCGCUUGGGACAUCCAUCAUUUGUUUAUAUGAAGCACUUGUUCUUACUCUCGUUCUAUAAGUAUGGUGAGUUUGAUUUAAGUGUGAGACUUUUGAUCUAGCUAAGAGUCACCAUACUACUUUCUCGGUGAGUGGUAAAUUAAGAUGGUUGGGGUCUUGCUAAAAUUGCUUCUAAUGGAAAAAGAAGGUUUGUUACAUUA
This is a long non-coding RNA of Pyrus x bretschneideri (Chinese white pear), 798 nucleotides long. RefSeq lists it as uncharacterized. The transcript has 2 exons. NCBI's taxonomy places the organism in Eukaryota, Viridiplantae, Streptophyta, Magnoliopsida, Rosales, Rosaceae. The record is from RefSeq and is a predicted model, not a curated record.